Molecule: ribosomal RNA, 669 nt
Filed under: uncultured bacterium
Lineage: Bacteria
Description: bacterial SSU rRNA
Rfam family: Bacterial small subunit ribosomal RNA
Source: RNAcentral
AGUCGAACGAGAAGAGAUGAGAAGCUUGCUUCUUAUUGAUUCGAGUGGCAAACGGGUGAGUAACGCGUAAGCAACCUGCCCUCUAGAUAGGGACAACAGCUGGAAACGGCUGCUAAUACCGAAUACGUUCUUUCUGUCGCAUGGCAGAAGGAAGAAAGGGUGGCUCUUCGGAGCUUUCGCUGGAGGAGGGGCUUGCGUCUGAUUAGCUAGUUGGAGGGGUAACGGCCCACCAAGGCGACGAUCAGUAGCCGGUCUGAGAGGAUGAACGGCCACAUUGGGACUGAGACACGGCCCAGACUCCUACGGGAGGCAGCAGUGGGGAAUCUUCCGCAAUGGACGAAAGUCUGACGGAGCAACGCCGCGUGAACGAUGACGGCCUUCGGGUUGUAAAGUUCUGUUAUACGGGACGAAUGGUACGACGGCCAAUACCCGUCGUAAGUGACGGUACCGUAAGAGAAAGCCACGGCUAACUACGUGCCAGCAGCCGCGGUAAUACGUAGGUGGCAAGCGUUGUCCGGAAUUAUUGGGCGUAAAGGGCGCGCAGGCGGCGUCGUAAGUCGGUCUUAAAAGUGCGGGGCUUAACCCCGUGAGGGGACCGAAACUGCGAUGCUAGAGUAUCGGAGAGGAAAGCGGAAUUCCUAGUGUAGCGGUGAAAUGCGUAGAUAUUAG